Molecule: ribosomal RNA, 443 nt
Filed under: uncultured bacterium
Lineage: Bacteria
Description: partial 16S ribosomal RNA
Rfam family: Bacterial small subunit ribosomal RNA
Source: RNAcentral
CCUACGGGAGGCUGCAGUGGGGGAUAUUGGGCAAUGGGGGAAACCCUGAUCCAGCGACGCCGCGUGAGUGAAGAAGUCUUUCGGGAUGUAAAGCUCUAUCAGCAGGGAAGAAAGAAAUGACGGUACCUGACUAAGAAGCCCCGGCUAACUACGUGCCAGCAGCCGCGGUAAUACGAGGGGGGCAAGCGUUAUACGGAAUUACUGGGUGUAAAGGGAGCGUAGACGGUAAUGCAAGUCUGGAGUGAAAGGCCGGGGCCCAACCCCCGGACUGCUCUGGAAACUGUGGAACUGGAGUGCAGGAGAGGCAGGCAGAAUUCCUCGUGUAGCGGUGAAAUGCGUAGAGAUUAGGAGGAACACCGGAGGCGAAGGCGGCCUGCUGGACUGUAACUGACGUUGAGGCUCGAAAGCGUGGGGAGCAAACAGGAUUAGAUACCCUGGUAGUC